Molecule: long non-coding RNA, 2391 nt
Filed under: Sus scrofa (pig)
Lineage: Eukaryota; Metazoa; Chordata; Mammalia; Artiodactyla; Suidae
Description: lncRNA (ENSSSCG00030018674.1)
Source: RNAcentral
CUUUUUUUUUUUUUUUUUGGUUUUGUUUUUUUUUUUUUUUUAGUUUUGAUUUUGUUUUAAUUGCAGUGUGGUAAUUUCUUAUAUAUUUUGGGUUUUUACCCUUAUUCAGAAGCAAUAUCUGCAAGUAUUUCCUCCCACCCUAUAGAUUGCCUUUUCAUUCUGUCAAUUGUUUUUAAGGAGACUAUACAUUUUUAGCUGGGGAAACUUUGAACCUUGGAGAGAUUUAGGUCCUUUUCUUAUGGUUGAUUGGUCUGUCUUCCUGUUUAGAUGCCAGUGGUAGACUUUUUUGCUGCCAUGGCUUUGCAGUGUGUUUUGAAUCCGGGGAUUGGGACAUAUCCAUUGUUGUUCUUUGCUGUCAAUGAGUUUUUUUAAUUUGGGUUCUUUGGGGUUCUACUUGUAUUUUAGGAUUUUCUUUUCCAAGUCUCAAAAAAUGGCAUGAGGUUUUGUGAGUUGUUGCAGUAUAUGUGUACUUCAUUUUCAGUAGCAGAGAAAUGUCAACAAGAUUACACCAUCCAUCUAGGAACAUGGUGUGUCAUUCCAAGCACUUGCACCUUCUUUAGUUUCUUUCAGCCAUGAUUUGUAGUUUUCAGUGUACAAAUCGUUCACCCUGUAAAGGGGUGCCACUGCCUUCCUUGGAUCUUUGGUCUUCCAGGCUCAGUGUUGAGAAGGAUGGACUCAUGAAAAGAGUGACGCAUCCCUCCCUCCCCUCUGCCCCUUCUCUCCGGUUAUGUCCAGCACCAGGCUGCAGCAGGAUCUUGAGGAUCAGAGGCCUUCUCCACUGUAGAUGUGAACCAGCUGAGGCCCUGGGAGGUCCGUGGAGGUGAGGACAGAAAGGGGCCUGAGACUGAGCUCCCUGCAGCAUCAUAGUCCUGAUGUUCCAUCUUGCUUCUCAAUCACCCCUUUCCUUUCCCAUGGCCUCCCCGACCUGGUGGCUUCCCCUGGACACAGAACGUUACAUGGCAGAUAACGAGAAUUCUGACAAGGACAGUAGCAGUAAGCUAGUAAUCUAUUUCCUCUUUCAUGUCCUUUUGUUUUCCUCUCUUUGUGUCACCCACAGACUCUUCCUUUGUAAGUCUUUCCCACCUCCUCUCUCCAACCUUUUAUGAUACUUAUCAUGAUGGAUUUGGUCUCAGGUGGACACUGGGAGUCCUGCGAUAAAAUGGACACCAUCUCUGCAGCUUUCCUCCCACUUCCUUAGCAUCUUGCCAGCAUCCAUCCUCAGCUCUGCACCUUUGAGUCCAGCUGAGCUGUCCUGAGGGGUCUGAGCAGGAGAUGGGAGUAGAGUGAGCUGCUCUUGACCUGCCCAGCUAGAGGGGCCACAAUAAAUCCCCCCUGCCCUGGGUGCCCCCCUGACCAGGGUGUUUUCCUGCCCCAGGUGGCUGUGGGCCAGCAUGACUGUUCUUUUCUUUCCAGAAGUCAAGACAGUUCUAGCUUACAACUUUUCUGUGAAGACAGAAAACAAAUAUUCAUACAAAGAAGAAAAAGAUUUCUCUAGAGUUUGGCGGAAAGAGUCUUUUCCCCACUAAAAUAUCUAAGAUUUAAUCCCCAAUUAUAAUAAAACUCUAAAUCAGUGUUCAGUCUCUGACUCAGUUUCCUCUUUGAAGAAUAAAUAAUUUGCAUGGUUGAUGUCAAGGAAAUUUUAUUUGCUCAGAUAUAACCAUUGAUUUGCAAUCUUCUUGACAACUAUCUGUAUUGUUAGCUUGCUACCCAAGCUGAUGUGGACAUUAUAUUUUCAAAGAAGAAAUACAAAAUAUACACAAAAUGUACAUAGAUAAAAAAAUUGUGAGUAAUUUUUAGACUGUAUUUAGUAAAGCCUUCAAAUUUUCCUCUCAGUGAUUGACUAAAACUACUGUUAAAGCUGUAUGUGUGAUGAUUUUAGUACUGACUGAGAUGACUACCUCCUUAAUGUAAGGUUACACUAAGUUCUUCUGGGAGGGGCGAUGUGUAUGUGUGAGUGUAAAGAUGCUCUACCUAUCUGGAAUGGGUUAUAACCAUGAAUGCAGAGACAUUCUUUAAGGGUGUUGUUUGGCCUGUGAUCUAAUGCCUUUUUGAGAAAGGUAUCCAUUGAUAUAUUAAAAGUCAUAGCUCUGUUGAUGUAUGUCUUGCCACCAACGUUUGGCAUCUUGGCAGCACUUCUCCACUUCUCGGUGGGCAUUAGGGGUGAGCAGCCUGCUUUGCCUGGAUCUUGCUCUCAUCAGUUGUGGCAGGGCCUCAUUUCUGUCUCUCAUGGUUAGUUAUACUUCACUCUGCCCUGUGAUUCCCACAGUCCUCAAUGUCUUCACUACUGACGUACUUGGCAUAUGACUUUUAACCUUUCCCUCUACUCUUUUAGCAAAAAGGCAUGGGCCACUUGUCCUCAGGGCUGAGUUUUAACAUCUGUCCUGAAGGACU